UACGGAGGGCCCGAGCGUUAAUCGGAAUUACUGGGCUUAAAGGGAGCGUAGGCGGCUCCGCAAGUACCUUGUGAAAUCCCACGGCUCAACCGUGGAAUUGCUUGGUAAACUGCGGGGCUUGAGCCCGGCAGAGGCCAUCGGAACUCUAGGUGGAGCGGUGAAAUGCGUAGAUAUCUAGAGGAACGCCAAAGGCGAAAGCAGAUGGCUGGGCCGGCGCUGACGCUGAGGCUCGAAAGCGUGGGGAGCGAACCGG
Molecule: unclassified non-coding RNA, 253 nt
Filed under: uncultured Phycisphaeraceae bacterium
Lineage: Bacteria; Pseudomonadati; Planctomycetota; Phycisphaerae; Phycisphaerales; Phycisphaeraceae
Description: contains 16S-23S intergenic spacer region
Rfam family: Bacterial small subunit ribosomal RNA
Source: RNAcentral